GUGACAUGUCUCCGGGGAGCCCUUCGAGGCAGUGGGCCCCCAGACGACUGUCUCCCCUUGCCUUAUCAUAGUUAAGUUACGCCCAUGCUUUCUUCAGAUCUUAUGGUGGCCAUGAUCUAGAAUAGUUACAGAGAAAACUAUGGAAACGAACUACCACAUUUGCUGAAGACUUACCGACAAUAGAAGAUUGGCUUGCCAAGGCAGAAAGUGUUCUGUUGCACCUAGUACUACACACUAAUUAAAAUUGUUUGCACACAGAAAACUGAAGGAAAAAGGUCACACCAACAGGAGAGCCGAUGAAAUCCAAGAUAAUGAAUUGCCCUUUUCAUCACCAACAUAAGGAACUGCAAAGGUCCAAGUUUUAAUUCUUCAGAAUUAGAAAUUCUGUCAUCUGACACACCAUCUGUGUCCUUUUCUCCGCUUCGGAAUCCAUUACAC
Hemicordylus capensis (graceful crag lizard) is the source of this 438-nucleotide long non-coding RNA. RefSeq lists it as uncharacterized. NCBI's taxonomy places the organism in Eukaryota, Metazoa, Chordata, Lepidosauria, Squamata, Cordylidae. The record is from RefSeq and is a predicted model, not a curated record. The transcript is spliced from 3 exons.